CUGCCUUUCUUCGGUUUGGCGGCACUAUGGGCUGCCGAAGGCAUCUCCUCGCCGGAUGGAGGAGCAUCCCCCAAGUUACAUCCCGACAAAUCGGGAUGAUAUUCGUCGGAUAGAUCGGGACACCAAUUUAGGUCAUAGUAAGCUGGGUUGUGUGGAUCCAUGGAAGGUGUAGAGAGAUGAUGAAAAAAGAAGUGAGGAAGAUGAAGAAAAUGGUGGAAGAAAGAAAGUGAGGAAGAAGAAGAAGAAAAAGAGAA
RNAcentral lists this long non-coding RNA (254 nucleotides) under Salvia miltiorrhiza (redroot sage). Its description in RNAcentral is "long non-coding RNA (SMIL_LNC003881)". Lineage: Eukaryota; Viridiplantae; Streptophyta; Magnoliopsida; Lamiales; Lamiaceae. The record is from RNAcentral.